Molecule: ribosomal RNA, 475 nt
Filed under: Staphylococcus simulans
Lineage: Bacteria; Bacillati; Bacillota; Bacilli; Caryophanales; Staphylococcaceae
Description: bacterial SSU rRNA
Rfam family: Bacterial small subunit ribosomal RNA
Source: RNAcentral
UUAUGGAGAGUUUGAUCCUGGCUCAGGAUGAACGCUGGCGGCGUGCCUAAUACAUGCAAGUCGAGCGAACAGACGAGGAGCUUGCUCCUCUGACGUUAGCGGCGGACGGGUGAGUAACACGUGGGUAACCUACCUAUAAGACUGGGAUAACUCCGGGAAACCGGGGCUAAUACCGGAUAACACAUGAAACCGCAUGGUUUCAUGAUGAAAGACGGUUUUGCUGUCACUUAUAGAUGGACCCGCGGCGUAUUAGCUAGUUGGUAAGGUAACGGCUUACCAAGGCAACGAUACGUAGCCGACCUGAGAGGGUGAUCGGCCACACUGGAACUGAGACACGGUCCAGACUCCUACGGGAGGCAGCAGUAGGGAAUCUGCCGCAAUGGGCGAAAGCCUGACGGAGCAACGCCGCGUGAGUGAUGAAGGUCUUCGGAUCGUAAAACUCUGUUAUUAGGGAAGAACAAGGAUGUAAGUAACU